Mycena polygramma is the source of this 94-nucleotide non-coding RNA. The record is from the annotation of a GenBank genome assembly. NCBI's taxonomy places the organism in Eukaryota, Fungi, Basidiomycota, Agaricomycetes, Agaricales, Mycenaceae.
GACCCGAUGGCGUAUCUGGUAUCGCAUCGCACACCCGUAAGAGAACACUUCUGCUUUUCCCGCGAGGAUCCCUGUUCGAUUCAGGGUCGGGUCA